UAAAGAGUUCUAUAACUCCCAAACCCAUGUGAACAUACCUAACGUUGCCUCGGCAGGUCGCACCUACCUUGUAGCACCCUACCCUGUAGGGCCUACCCGGGAGGUGCGGGUAAGCCUGCCGGCGGCCCACCAAACUCUGUUUGAUAUUGAAUUCUGAACAUAUAACUAAAUAAGUUAAAACUUUCAACAACGGAUCUCUUGGUUCUGGCAUCGAUGAAGAACGCAGCGAAAUGCGAUAAGUAAUGUGAAUUGCAGAAUUCAGUGAAUCAUCGAAUCUUUGAACGCAUAUUGCGCCCAUUAGUAUUCUAGUGGGCAGGACCGUUCGAGCGUCAUUUCGACCCUUAAGCCUUAGUUGCUUAGUGUUGGGAGCCUACGGCAACGUAGCUCCUCAAAGUUAGUGGCGGAGUUGGUUCACACUCUAGACGUAGUAAUUUUUUAUCUCGCCUAUUAGUUGGACUGAUCCCCUGCCGUAAAACCCCCAACUUAUCAAGGUUGACCUCGAAUCGGUUCAGACAAACUCGCUAAAUUGAAGCAUCUUAGUCAGCGAAGGAAAAGAAACCAACAGGGAUUGCCCUAGUAACGGCGAGUGAAGCGGCAACAGCUCAAAUUUGAAAUCUGGCCCUCGGGUCCGAGUUGUAAUUUGUAGAGGAUGCUUUUGGCGCGGUGCCUUCCGAGUUCCCUGGAACGGGA
This 690-nucleotide ribosomal RNA is filed under the name fungal endophyte. RNAcentral describes it as "eukaryotic LSU rRNA". The stretch from base 179 to 332 matches the Rfam family "5.8S ribosomal RNA". Lineage: Eukaryota; Fungi. The record is from RNAcentral.